AGAUUGCUCGCAGUAAAAUGCAAAUAGGAAAUAUGGAAUGAAUAGGAAACUUUGAAGCAAACCCGCUGAGAUUAUGUGGAACUUAAUGCAAAGCAGCAAAGAGUCAACAGUAAUAAAUGAUUAUAUUCCUGGAGAUUCUCCCCUGCAAGCAGCUGUCCUUUGCUCACCCCCUGCAAGCUCAGCUUGUCCCAAAGCUCUGCUGUUGCCUUUGACAGGUCCUUGGCUGUGCAGUGCCCUCCCCACAGCUGCAGAACCAUCUCUGUGCUCACCUGUCCUGCAUUGAUGGCUCCAAAACUCCAAAACAAGAAAACAGAGGGAAACAAUGGGAAUCACUGAUGUUUACCUGCCUUGGUUUCCCACAGCCUCACCUGCAGGUCAGGUGCUGCUGUGCUGCUUGAGCAUCCAGACACAGCCAGGAAAAUAUGUGAGGCUGCUUAAGAGACUUCUACAGGAGAUUCUGCUGUUGAUAAGUUGGAAAGAACAACCCAGGCAUUAAGAUAUUACUUCCAAGCAAUGCAACACCACAAAAGCGACCCACACACGUUCAGGCCUCCGCAGGUUUAGACUGAUGUUUUACUUGAAAUAACACUUUAUUGAUGUUUGGGAUCCCCCAAUUUCCAAGAAGAAAAGCUGAUUAUCUUGGGAGGCAGCCUUAUGGAGAGGAGCAGACCCCCCCCAGCCUUCCGCUCCAGCCUGGAUCAAUGCAGGGAAGUGCUCUUUGAUGGACUUUCAGGCCCUGUGAUCUCCCAGCCCUGCGGGUUUAAAGGAUGAGCAUAUCAAUCCAGGAGCACUGAACUGCAUUUCCAUUGCAUCGGGGCUCCUCCUCCCGCCUUUGUCCCGACAAACUCGGCUCCUCCUACUUUUGUCACUAUUCUUUCAUGCUUUGUUUAGCAAACACAAAAAAAGCUUUGUUUUGUUGCUGGGUCUUUUUUAAGCUUUGCAUAAAACAGUUUAAAGUGCCGUAAUGCUGUGUACCUGUGAUCACCUUCAGGGUCAAAAUCAGUUUACAACAGAUUAAC
Molecule: long non-coding RNA, 1019 nt
Organism: Zonotrichia leucophrys gambelii
Lineage: Eukaryota; Metazoa; Chordata; Aves; Passeriformes; Passerellidae
Exons: 4
Source: RefSeq, a predicted model, not a curated record